Molecule: ribosomal RNA, 107 nt
Filed under: Scophthalmus maximus (turbot)
Lineage: Eukaryota; Metazoa; Chordata; Actinopteri; Pleuronectiformes; Scophthalmidae
Source: RNAcentral
GCUUACGGCCACACCGCCUGGUUCGCCCGAUCUCGGAAGCUAACAUAGGUUUGGCCUGGUUAGUACUUGGAUGGGAGACCGCCUGGGAAUACCAGGUGCUGUAAGCU